Molecule: unclassified non-coding RNA, 275 nt
Filed under: Hevea brasiliensis (rubber tree)
Lineage: Eukaryota; Viridiplantae; Streptophyta; Magnoliopsida; Malpighiales; Euphorbiaceae
Source: RNAcentral
CUCGGUCAUCUCAUCGAGUUAGAGCUCUCCGGUCUUCACGGAGCUUGUACCUCUUCAAAUUUAAAUCCAAUUCCAAUCCGAUUAAAAAAUUUUACUCAAAAAGUAUUCGUCGCCACAGCCAGGGAAGUGGUUCGUACACGUUUUCAAGAAGCCAAAACGGGUGUGGAAUUAUCGUCUUUUUUCUUCUAGUUAAUUGCUGUCCAACUGUUCGAUGAAGUGCUUGGUAGAGAAAAAAAAAAAAAAAGGAGCAGAAAAAGAAUACCCAGCAGGGCCAG